RNAcentral lists this transfer RNA (76 nucleotides) under Saccharicrinis fermentans DSM 9555 = JCM 21142. RNAcentral describes it as "tRNA-Pro". It matches the Rfam family "tRNA". From Rfam's summary of the family: Transfer RNA (tRNA) molecules are approximately 80 nucleotides in length. Their secondary structure includes four short double-helical elements and three loops (D, anti-codon, and T loops). Lineage: Bacteria; Pseudomonadati; Bacteroidota; Bacteroidia; Marinilabiliales; Marinilabiliaceae. The record is from RNAcentral.
CGGGAUGUGGCGCAGCCCGGUUAGCGCACUGGUCUGGGGGACCAGGGGUCGCAGGUUCAAAUCCUGUCAUCCCGAC